AUUUCCGAUGUCUCGACAUGACAAGGUGCCCUCCAUGGCUCUGUCGCCUUGGCAAUGGCCCGGCCCGGGCCCAAAUGUUGAAUCGAUAAUUGACACACAUUAACCGGGCACGUCUCGGUUAACUGACCUUGCCAGCUGCCACCCAACCAAAUGCAGCAUUCCAGGAUAAAAAGGCCCAGCUAAACUUGAAGCUUCGAAAUGUAGAGGCAGCAGGAAAGCAACUCAGCUACCAAACACAUCAAGAGCGAUAUAUCUAGACACUAGAUACAACAGAAGAACUGGAUUACCACGGAAUCAGGCGUAAAAGCAGCAGAAACCCAGCCGAGAUUAGUUUAUAUAUGUUAGCAUAACGUCUUAUUCACCAAUAUGAAAAAGAACAUCUAAUAAAACAGCC
Molecule: small RNA, 394 nt
Filed under: Drosophila virilis
Lineage: Eukaryota; Metazoa; Arthropoda; Insecta; Diptera; Drosophilidae
Description: GJ27089
Source: RNAcentral